This 253-nucleotide ribosomal RNA is filed under the name uncultured bacterium. Its description in RNAcentral is "partial 16S ribosomal RNA". It matches the Rfam family "Bacterial small subunit ribosomal RNA", at positions 524 to 776 of the family's 1533-position model. The record is from RNAcentral.
UACAGGGGGCGCGAGCGUUGCUCGGAUUUACUGGGCGUAAAGCGUGCGCAGGUGGCCUGGCAAGUCGGGUGUGAAAGCCCGGGGCUCAACUCCGGAAUUGCAUUCGAUACUGCCAAGCUUGAAUACGGGAGAGGGAAGCGGAAUUCCUGGUGUAGAGGUGAAAUUCGUAGAUAUCAGGAGGAACACCAGUGGCGAAAGCGGCUUCCUGGCCCGAUAUUGACGCUCAUGCACGAAAGCGUGGGGAGCAAACAGG